AGAUUGAACGCUAGCGGGAUGCUUUACACAUGCAAGUCGAACGGCAGCGCGGACUUCGGUCUGGCGGCGAGUGGCGAACGGGUGAGUAAUAUAUCGGAACGUGCCCAGUAGCGGGGGAUAACUACGCGAAAGCGUGGCUAAUACCGCAUACGCCCUACGGGGGAAAGGGGGGGAUCGCAAGACCUCUCAAUAUUGGAGCGGCCGAUAUCAGAUUAGCUAGUUGGUGAGGUAAAGGCUCACCAAGGCGACGAUCUGUAGCUGGUUUGAGAGGACGACCAGCCACACUGGGACUGAGACACGGCCCAGACUCCGUACGGGA
Molecule: ribosomal RNA, 319 nt
Filed under: uncultured soil bacterium
Lineage: Bacteria
Description: bacterial SSU rRNA
Rfam family: Bacterial small subunit ribosomal RNA
Source: RNAcentral